CAGCCGCCACGGUAAUACGUAGGGUGCAAGCGUUAAUCGGAAUUACUGGGCGUAAAGCGUGCGUAGGUGGUGGUUUAAGUCCGUUGUGAAAGCCCUGGGCUCAACCUGGGAAUUGCAGUGGAUACUGGGUCACUAGAGUGUGGUAGAGGAUAGUGGAAUUCCCGGUGUAGCAGUGAAAUGCGUAGAGAUCGGAAGGAACAUCUGUGGCGAAGGCGACUAUCUGGGCCAACACUGACACUGAGGCACGAAAGCGUGGGGAGCAAACAGGAUUAGAUACCCGGGUAGUCCCUGUCUCUUAUAC
Molecule: ribosomal RNA, 301 nt
Filed under: uncultured bacterium
Lineage: Bacteria
Description: partial 16S ribosomal RNA
Rfam family: Bacterial small subunit ribosomal RNA
Source: RNAcentral